Molecule: ribosomal RNA, 711 nt
Filed under: Vibrio sp. KR04-83
Lineage: Bacteria; Pseudomonadati; Pseudomonadota; Gammaproteobacteria; Vibrionales; Vibrionaceae
Description: bacterial SSU rRNA
Rfam family: Bacterial small subunit ribosomal RNA
Source: RNAcentral
UUAAUGGGCGUCGAGCGGCGGACGGGUGAGUAAUGCCUAGGAAAUUGCCUUGAUGUGGGGGAUAACCAUUGGAAACGAUGGCUAAUACCGCAUAAUGCCUACGGGCCAAAGAGGGGGACCUUCGGGCCUCUCGCGUCAAGAUAUGCCUAGGUGGGAUUAGCUAGUUGGUGAGGUAAUGGCUCACCAAGGCGACGAUCCCUAGCUGGUCUGAGAGGAUGAUCAGCCACACUGGAACUGAGACACGGUCCAGACUCCUACGGGAGGCAGCAGUGGGGAAUAUUGCACAAUGGGCGAAAGCCUGAUGCAGCCAUGCCGCGUGUAUGAAGAAGGCCUUCGGGUUGUAAAGUACUUUCAGUUGUGAGGAAGGGUGUGUAGUUAAUAGCUGCGCAUCUUGACGUUAGCAACAGAAGAAGCACCGGCUAACUCCGUGCCAGCAGCCGCGGUAAUACGGAGGGUGCGAGCGUUAAUCGGAAUUACUGGGCGUAAAGCGCAUGCAGGUGGUUCAUUAAGUCAGAUGUGAAAGCCCGGGGCUCAACCUCGGAACUGCAUUUGAAACUGGUGAACUAGAGUGCUGUAGAGGGGGGUAGAAUUUCAGGUGUAGCGGUGAAAUGCGUAGAGAUCUGAAGGAAUACCAGUGGCGAAGGCGGCCCCCUGGACAGACACUGACACUCAGAUGCGAAAGCGUGGGGAGCAAACAGGAUUAGAUACCCU